UCCUACGGGAGCCGGGCUCCGCCCACGACCUCGGGUAUGGACAAACUUCAUCCGGACUCCUACGGGAGCCGAAUUUCGUCCCCAACUUCGACUGCAGGAAGACCUCUUCUGAGCUCCUACAAGAACCGGACUUCACUUCUGACUCCAGCUACAGACUCCAACCGAACUUCAACCGACGAGUUUGGACCCCCUGGUAGGCCGUAGUAACGGCCAUGACUCUGCUCCACUUCCUGCGACAGAUUUCGUGUGGCUCCAUCACUCCCUGGCAGACCGCAAUAAUGGCCACGAUCCUGCUCCACUUCCUACGAC
Molecule: long non-coding RNA, 309 nt
Filed under: Elaeis guineensis (African oil palm)
Lineage: Eukaryota; Viridiplantae; Streptophyta; Magnoliopsida; Arecales; Arecaceae
Description: long non-coding RNA (EGUI_LNC073179)
Source: RNAcentral